CGCUAUCACUCCUACGGGAGGCAGCAGUGGGGAAUCUUGCGCAAUGGGCGAAAGCCUGACGCAGCCAUGCCGCGUGAAUGAUGAAGGUCUUAGGAUUGUAAAAUUCUUUCACCGGGGACGAUAAUGACGGUACCCGGAGAAGAAGCCCCGGCUAACUUCGUGCCAGCAGCCGCGGUAAUACGAAGGGGCUAGCGUUGCUCGGAAUUACUGGGCGUAAAGGGAGCGUAGGCGGACAUUUAAGUCAGGGGUGAAAUCCCCGGGGCUCAACCUCGGAAUUGCCUUUGAUACUGGGUGUCUUGAGUGUGAGAGAGGUAUGUGGAACUCCGAGUGUAGAGGUGAAAUUCGUAGAUAUUCGGAAGAACACCAGUGGCGAAGGCGACAUACUGGCUCAUUACUGACGCUGAGGCUCGAAAGCGUGGGGAGCAAACAGGAUUAGAUACCCUGGUAG
Molecule: ribosomal RNA, 448 nt
Filed under: uncultured bacterium
Lineage: Bacteria
Description: bacterial SSU rRNA
Rfam family: Bacterial small subunit ribosomal RNA
Source: RNAcentral